UUUAACAAAAAAAUGUGCGCUUAAGACAAAGCCAAGUCUCACACAUUCUGACCUGAGCCAUCACUGUCUCUGUAGUGCCGAAGGUCACCUCCGGCGGAGGGCCAACCACUGAAAAUCAUGUACCAUCAUUUUCGUUUCAAUGUGCUUUAUUCGAAUCCACAAGUAAUUUCCCUGAAUUCUAAUCUUAAGGCCUAAAUUGAGUUGAAACAUCUCAAGAACCCUAGGUAAAUAAACUUAAAUUAAAUUGUAACCAUGCUCUGAGUCAAUCAGCAACCAAGGGGUUAAUGAUCUACUACCCUCAACCAACCAACCGGUAAAAAUAAUUUGAAGAAACUGAGUGAAAUCGUAUGAGCUCAUCGGAGCAAUUCGAAGUUGAAAAUGCGUAACCAGCAAGGUAAUCCACUGCACUCUUCUCUUCGUAUAAAUUAUUCUCUCAUCUUUUUAUUGAUGUUUGUUGAUGUGUAUGUUCAUGAGUGAUUGAUAAUUGUUAGAGAUAGUAUGUUAGGUCAGGAAUGUUGUUAGGCAGUUAGAAAGUUUGUUAGGAUUGUGUUGGGUAGUUAGCAUGGUUAUGACAGUUAUAAGUGAAUUGAGAUAUGUUAGACGGUUAGGAGUUAGAGGAAUGACAACUAUUGGUUAAGUGAGCUGAGGUUAGUUGAGAAUUGACAUGAGGUUAGUUAAGUCAAUUAGGGGAUUUAUGUCAGGUAUGUUAUGGAUGGUUAAGGUUAGUGCAGAAUUUUUUGUCAGGCACAUGAAUUGCUCUGAUGGUUAGAUGAAUGUUGUGCUUUGUUAUGCUAUGAUAUAAGUGUGUUUGAAAUGUUGCAUUGAUGUUUGUUAUUGGUUAGGUAAUUGGUUAGUUGUGAUGAUAUUGAUGCAUGACCCGUUGUGCUAAAUGUGACUGCUUCUGUUAUGCCAUGCUCAUGUUUUACACUGAUGAAUUGUUGUGGUAAACUGAAUGUGAAUGGUGGUGAUAAAUUAGCCUUGCAGGUCUGCUAUGCAUUGCAAUUGGUGUUGUUAUGUGUAGAAUUGGUGAAUGCGUAUGGCAUGUGUUGUAUGGACUGCAUAGCUUGCUGUUACAUGAUAGAUGAAUGUUUGGGCUGUGAAUUGGCCAUUAAAUUCUGUCAGUCAUGAUUAUGAAAUGGAUGUGAGUUUUUCAAUGCCAUACCAUGUUGAAUGGUUUGUUGCUAGUGUAGGAAAAUUGCUUAUCUUGCCACUAGGUUGAUGGUUAUUUGUGAAUGAUAGUUAGUGAAUGAUGCUUGAAUGGCCCUACUAUGUUUUGUUGUUUUGUGUGCAGCCUGUUUGAUGAAUGUUGUAUGUUGACUGUAUGAUGUAUUGCUUGGUAGCAUGUAUGCAUGACAGGGUUGCUUGCUAAUGAAUUGAAAUCAUGCCAUGUUAAGAAUGGAAUGAAUGUAAAUGGAAUUGUGAUGUGAAUGAGUGCAAUGUUAUGGAUUUUGGGUCAAAUGUGGUUAAUGUAAUGAUGCAUUGCUUAGAAUAUUUUGCAAGGAUGAAACAUGUGUGCUUGGCAUUGACCAUGAUUGAAGCUUGGCAUGGAGGUUCAUGAUGGGAAUUUGAAGAAAUCCAAAGUUGUUUGCACAUGAAGAAAGUGCUUGGUCAUGGAAUCAAAUGGAAUGAAUGCAAGAAAAUUAAGAAUCAAUAGGUCAUUAGGGUUAGGAAUGUGGAAUUUAGGUCAGUGGACUUUGGUCAACUUGUUGACAAAAAAGUCAACAGUUGACCAGAAGUCAACUAUAGGUCAAACUUCAAUUUUUUGUAAUUAUGUAUGGAACUUUGUAAAUUGACUUGUAAGAUUGAAUGGACAACUUUGAAUAGAAAUCACCCUUUUAUGAUUUAAUACCAUGUUUUACUUUCAAAAUUGAAA
RNAcentral lists this long non-coding RNA (1873 nucleotides) under Lathyrus oleraceus (garden pea). RNAcentral describes it as "Pisum sativum (pea) long non-coding RNA (PSAT_LNC019551)". The record is from RNAcentral. Lineage: Eukaryota; Viridiplantae; Streptophyta; Magnoliopsida; Fabales; Fabaceae.